This 403-nucleotide ribosomal RNA is filed under the name uncultured bacterium. RNAcentral's name for it is "partial 16S ribosomal RNA". It matches the Rfam family "Bacterial small subunit ribosomal RNA", at positions 30 to 526 of the family's 1533-position model. The record is from RNAcentral.
AUUGAACGCUGGCGGCAGGCCUAACACAUGCAAGUCGAGCGAGCGGCGGACGGGUGAGUAAUGUAUGGGGACUGCCCGCUAGAGGGGGAUAACUACUGGAAACGGUAGCUAAUACCGCAUACUAUCGGAUAACCCAUAUGGGUUUAGCUAGUAGGUGAGGUAAUGGCUCACCUAGGCGACGAUCCCUAGCUGGUCUGAGAGGAUGAUCAGCCACACUGGGACAGAGACAGGGCCCAGACUCCUACGGAGGCAGAAGGAGGAAAUAUUCCACUAUGGGCAUAAGCCGGAUGCAGCCAUGCCGCGUGUAUGAAGAAGGCCCUAGGGUUGUAAUGUACUUUCGGUCGGGAAGCGUGACCGACAGAAGAAGCACCGGCUAACACCGUGCCAGCAGCCGCGGUAAUAC